Long non-coding RNA from Penaeus chinensis, 196 nucleotides. RefSeq lists it as uncharacterized. The transcript is spliced from 2 exons. The record is from RefSeq and is a predicted model, not a curated record. NCBI's taxonomy places the organism in Eukaryota, Metazoa, Arthropoda, Malacostraca, Decapoda, Penaeidae.
UCCUCAGAACUGAAUCUGUUCCCUGUUGCUCCUCAUCAUGGCGAGGUUCCAAAUCUUUCUUGUACUUAUGUCCGUGAUGCUGAGCGUAGCCAUGGCGGAUCCAUUCACUGUGACAACUUUUGCCCCGAGUCCUGGCCGGAGAGGGUAGUAGGCAUCGAGAAGGCCUGCCCUUCAUCUCAAUAAACAGUUAGUGCAA